This 143-nucleotide ribosomal RNA is filed under the name uncultured eukaryote. RNAcentral's name for it is "partial small subunit ribosomal RNA". The record is from RNAcentral.
GUACACACCGCCCGUCACACCAUGGGAGUGGGUUUCRCCAGAAGCAGRUAGUCUAACCGCRAGGAGGGCGYUUGCCACGRUGAGAUUCAUGACUGGGGUGAAGUCGUAACAAGGUAKCCGUAGRUGAACCUGCAGAAGGAUCA